UUACAUAGCUCCCGAGUAUGCAUCUAGAGGCCUUUAUUCACUAAAGACAGAUGUAUUUAGCUUUGGGGUGUUGGCUCUUGUGAUCAUCAGUGGACGGAAGAAUGCCAUUCUACAGCAGCAAGGCGAUACCGUUGGCAACCUCGUACGAGAUGCAUGGCAUAUGUGGAAUGCUGGGAGGCUGCAUGAGCUUCUUGAUCCGAUUUCAAGUGGUAGACACGAACUUGCUGAGAUAGUGCGAUGUGCUCACGUGGCACUGCUAUGUGCUCAAGAAUAUCCAGCAGAUCGACCCACCAUGUCAGAUGUUGUUGCACUACUGAACUUUGAAAGUGUAAGCUUAUUGCCGAGCCCAAAGCAGCAGUCUGAGCUGAGUAACGGAGGUGCUAUUGGCGACAAGUUGUCAGCUCACUUCGGCCAAUCAAGUAGGACAGUGGACAUAACCAUCACAAGUUCAGCUCCAGUGUCAACUAGAGUGCGCAUCAUUUUAGAGCCAUAAACAUAAUGUGAAAACUAACUUUAUCUGGUAGCAAAAAGUUUUUGCAUGACUAUGGAAUCAUGAACUUUAGCUGAUCAGUGGUGCUGCAAAUCAACCGGCGUGUACGCAGUUGCUACUGCAAUUUUCCUAAUUCUGUUUUCAGAAAACAGCAAAGAAAUAGAGGAAGGAGAAGAACAUCAAGGCAAAA
Molecule: long non-coding RNA, 680 nt
Organism: Panicum hallii
Lineage: Eukaryota; Viridiplantae; Streptophyta; Magnoliopsida; Poales; Poaceae
Exons: 2
Source: RefSeq, a predicted model, not a curated record